GCGGAUGGCUGGAUGACCGCGGGGCGCAAGUCCCGAGGAAAGUCCGGACUCCAUGAAGCAAGGGUGCCGGGUAACCCCCGGCGGGGGCAACCCCAGGGAAAGCGCCACAGAGAAGAGUCUGCCUUGCAUGCAAGGUGAUGGUGAAACGGUGGGGUAAGAGCCCACCGCGGACCGGGCAACCGGGACGGCACGGCAAGCCCCACCCGGAGCAAUGCCGAAUAGGGGCCUCGCGCGGAAAGGUCCGGGUUUCCGGAGACCUCCGCAGGGACGCUUCAGCCCAGAGGCCCGGGUUGGCAGCUUGACCGCCGCGGUAACGCGUGCGGCAGAGGAAUGGUCAUCCAUGGGGGGAAACCCCCGGGACAGAAUCCGGCUUACAGGCCAUCCGCGCGU
RNAcentral lists this RNase P RNA (390 nucleotides) under Paracoccaceae bacterium. RNAcentral's name for it is "Rhodobacteraceae bacterium RNase P RNA component class A". It matches the Rfam family "Bacterial RNase P class A". Rfam says of the family: Ribonuclease P (RNase P) is a ubiquitous endoribonuclease, found in archaea, bacteria and eukarya as well as chloroplasts and mitochondria. The record is from RNAcentral. Lineage: Bacteria; Pseudomonadati; Pseudomonadota; Alphaproteobacteria; Rhodobacterales; Paracoccaceae. RNAcentral also lists the same sequence under 1 other name.